CACCAUUAUCAAGAACACCCGUUCCCUCACUUAAACUAUCUUCCAAAUCCCAACCAGAAGCAAGCCAGCCUCCUUGCUUCAAAAUAUCCUCUACAAGAUCCAUCCUUCCUGCAUCAAUUAACUCUUUCUUGCUUGGAAACGCCUCCGGUUUAUCUGAAUUCUUCAUGAACUCUAAAAUCUCCGCCUCCAAUGCAAAAUCACCCUCACUUUCCC
Molecule: unclassified non-coding RNA, 213 nt
Filed under: Hevea brasiliensis (rubber tree)
Lineage: Eukaryota; Viridiplantae; Streptophyta; Magnoliopsida; Malpighiales; Euphorbiaceae
Source: RNAcentral